GCCGUUUCUGUCAAUGAUGCAGAUAGAAUGUAGUAGUAUGAGAUCAUGCUGAUUAUCACAAAUUCUCUUUCGUCACUACCUCUGAGACAGAAAUGGA
Molecule: small nucleolar RNA, 97 nt
Organism: Lytechinus pictus (painted urchin)
Lineage: Eukaryota; Metazoa; Echinodermata; Echinoidea; Temnopleuroida; Toxopneustidae
Product: small nucleolar RNA SNORD70
Exons: 1
Source: RefSeq, a predicted model, not a curated record